RNAcentral lists this unclassified non-coding RNA (329 nucleotides) under soil metagenome. RNAcentral describes it as "partial contains 5.8S ribosomal RNA, internal transcribed spacer 2, and large subunit ribosomal RNA". The stretch from base 1 to 120 matches the Rfam family "5.8S ribosomal RNA", at positions 35 to 154 of the family's 154-position model. The record is from RNAcentral.
GAUGAAGAACGUAGCGAAAUGCGAUAAGUAAUGUGAAUUGCAGAAUUCAGUGAAUCAUCGAAUCUUUGAACGCACAUUGCGCCCCCUGGUAUUCCGGGGGGCAUGCCUGUCCGAGCGUCAUUACAACCCUCAAGCUCAGCUUGGUGUUGGGCCCCGCCGCCCCGGCGGGCCCUAAAGUCAGUGGCGGUGCCGUCCGGCUCCGAGCGUAGUAAUUCUUCUCGCUCUGGAGGUCCGGUCGUGUGCUCGCCAGCAACCCCCAAUUUUUUUCAGGUUGACCUCGGAUCAGGUAGGGAUACCCGCUGAACCUAAGCAUAUCAAUAAGCGGAGGA